AUUGAACGCUGGCGGCAGGCCUAACACAUGCAAGUCGACCGAUUGGCGGACGGUUGAGUAAUUUCUGGGCACCUCCCUGAUGCAGGGGGUUACCUACUGGAAACGUUACCUAAUCCCGCAUACCAUCGGAUGUACCCAUAUGGGUUUAGCUGGUAGGUGGGGUAACGGCUCACCUAGGCGACGAUCCCUAGCUGGUCUGAGAGGAUGACCAGCCACACUGGAACUGAGACACGGUCCAGACUCCUACGGGAGGCAGCAGUGGGGAAUAUUGCACAAUGGGCGCAAGCCUGAUGCAGCCAUGCCGCGUGUAUGAAGAAGGCCUUCGGGUUGUAAAGUACUUUCAGUGGGGAGGCGUUACCCGAAGAAGAAGCACCGGCUAACUCCGUGCCAGCCGCCGCGGUAAUUC
RNAcentral lists this ribosomal RNA (406 nucleotides) under uncultured bacterium. RNAcentral describes it as "partial 16S ribosomal RNA". It matches the Rfam family "Bacterial small subunit ribosomal RNA", at positions 30 to 526 of the family's 1533-position model. The record is from RNAcentral.